Molecule: ribosomal RNA, 301 nt
Filed under: uncultured bacterium
Lineage: Bacteria
Description: partial 16S ribosomal RNA
Rfam family: Bacterial small subunit ribosomal RNA
Source: RNAcentral
CAGCCGCCACGGGAACACGAAGGGUGCAAGCGUUACUCGGAAUUACUGGGCGUAAAGCGUGCGUAGGUGGUGGUUUAAGUCCGUUGUGAAAGCCCUGGGCUCAACCUGGGAAUUGCAGUGGAUACUGGGUCACUAGAGUGUGGUAGAGGAUAGUGGAAUUUCCGGUGUAGCAGUGAAAUGCGUAGAGAUCGGAAGGAACAUCUGUGGCGAAGGCGACUAUCUGGGCCAACACUGACACUGAGGCACGAAAGCGUGGGGAGCAAACAGGAUUAGAUACCCGCGUAGUCCCUGUCUCUUAUAC